UACAGAGGUCCCGAGCGUUGUUCGGAUUCACUGGGCGUAAAGGGCGCGUAGGUGGCUUGGAAAGUUUGAUGUGAAAGCUCAGGGCUUAACCCUGAAAUGGCAUUGAAUACUGUCGAGCUGGAGGUUUGGAGGGGGGACUGGAAUUCUUGGUGUAGCAGUGAAAUGCGUAGAUAUCAAGAGGAACACCAGUGGCGAAGGCGGCCCUCUGGACCGGUACUGACGCUGAUGCGCGAAAGCGUGGGGAGCAAACGGG
RNAcentral lists this ribosomal RNA (253 nucleotides) under uncultured bacterium. RNAcentral describes it as "partial 16S ribosomal RNA". It matches the Rfam family "Bacterial small subunit ribosomal RNA", at positions 524 to 776 of the family's 1533-position model. The record is from RNAcentral.